ACUAAAUUUCAGAAGAGUGGCUAAACCACCGUCACCCAGAAUGCACCUCUCCGGGUGCACACACCCUGAACAGGGCCGAGGCCUCAAAUCUCAGUCCAACCGCACGGCACUGGGCCGAAUCCAGAAGCCACAGACUUCUGCUCCAGGCGAUAAACAACUAUAGCCUCCAGAAUCCUACUGAACGAACGCCACUUCCUUCCUCCCUGCAACAACAAGCAGAGAACCUAGACACCGGACGACACACAAGUUUAUUCUUUCAAGUCGCUUUCUGAUUUGCUUUCUUUACAUGUGCCACACACGCUGGACCACACAACAUCAACUACAUUUUACAGCAGUCAUCCAGUGGCUUCAGUGUAGGCUACACUUGGCAGAAGAACACAGAGCAACUGUAACCAGCACAAAAUGAGACUGACGAAGAAUCAGCCAGGUUACAGCCCAAUAAGCAGGUGGAGUGUGUGUAAGGCUGGGGAGGGCCUAGCAACGGGUCAAAAAAUAAAAGAAGCAGAUUGAA
Molecule: long non-coding RNA, 511 nt
Organism: Pimephales promelas (fathead minnow)
Lineage: Eukaryota; Metazoa; Chordata; Actinopteri; Cypriniformes; Leuciscidae
Source: RefSeq, a predicted model, not a curated record